RNAcentral lists this ribosomal RNA (618 nucleotides) under uncultured fungus. RNAcentral describes it as "eukaryotic LSU rRNA". It matches the Rfam family "Eukaryotic large subunit ribosomal RNA", at positions 23 to 664 of the family's 3401-position model. Lineage: Eukaryota; Fungi. The record is from RNAcentral.
ACCCGCUGAACUUAAGCAUAUCAAUAAGCGGAGGAAAAGAAACCAACAGGGAUUGCCUCAGUAACGGCGAGUGAAGCGGCAAAAGCUCAAAUUUGAAAUCUGGUCCUAGACCCGAGUUGUAAUUUGUAGAGGAAUGUUCGGCGACGUCUAGGUCUGAGUCUUCUGGAAGGAAGCGCCUUUGAGGGUGAGAGCCCCGUAGGACUGAUGACUGAACCAUGUGUACAUCCUUCGACGAGUCGAGUUGUUUGGGAAUGCAGCUCAAAACGGGUGGUAAAUUCCAUCUAAAGCUAAAUAUUGGCCAGAGACCGAUAGCGCACAAGUAGAGUGAUCGAAAGAUGAAAAGCACUUUGGAAAGAGAGUGAAACAGUACGUGAAAUUGUUGAAAGGGAAGCGCUUGCGACCAGACUUGGGUUUAACGUUCAGCGGUUCGCGUGGACCGUGUACUUCGUUAUUUACUAGCCAGCAUCAGUUUUCGGGGUUGGAUAAAAGCUUGAGGAACGUAGCUUAGCUUCGGUUGAGUGUUAUAGCCUCUUGCACAAUACAGCCACUGGAGACUGAGGAACGCCUUUUUGUAGGAUGCUGGCGUAAUGGUUGCAAGCGGCCCGUCUUGAAACACGG